UACGUAGGGGGCGAGCGUUGUCCGGAAUCAUUGGGCGUAAAGGGCGUGUAGGCGGUUAUGCAAGUCAGGUGUGAAAACCUCGGGCUCAACUUGAGGACUGCACCUGAAACUGCAUAACUUGAGGGCAGGAGAGGAAAGUGGAAUUCCAAGUGUAGCGGUGAAAUGCGUAGAUAUUUGGAAGAACACCGGUGGCGAAGGCGGCUUUCUGGACUGUACCUGACGCUGAGGCGCGAAAGCCAGGGGAGCGAACGGG
RNAcentral lists this ribosomal RNA (253 nucleotides) under uncultured microorganism. RNAcentral's name for it is "partial 16S ribosomal RNA". It matches the Rfam family "Bacterial small subunit ribosomal RNA", at positions 524 to 776 of the family's 1533-position model. The record is from RNAcentral.